This 221-nucleotide ribosomal RNA is filed under the name uncultured bacterium. RNAcentral's name for it is "partial 16S ribosomal RNA". It matches the Rfam family "Bacterial small subunit ribosomal RNA", at positions 524 to 776 of the family's 1533-position model. The record is from RNAcentral.
UACGUAAAAGACUAGUGUUAGUCAUCUUUAUUAGGUUUAAAGGGUACCUAGACGGUAAAUUAAACUCUAAAUGAGUACUUUUUUACUAGAGUUUUAUAAGAGAAGGAAGAACUUUUGGAGUAGGGAUAAAAUACUUUGAUACCAAAAGGACUGAUAACGGCGAAGGCAUCCUUCUAUGUAAAAACUGACGCUGAGGCUCGAAAGCAUGGGUAGCGAACAGG